UACACUCCUGCGGGAGGCAGCAGUGGGGAAUUUUGGACAAUGGGCGAAAGCCUGAUCCAGCAAUGCCGCGUGAGUGAAGAAGGCCUUCGGGUUGUAAAGCUCUUUUGUCAGGGAAGAAACGGUGAGAGCUAAUAUCUUUUGCUAAUGACGGUACCUGAAGAAUAAGCACCGGCUAACUACGUGCCAGCAGCCGCGGUAAUACGUAGGGUGCAAGCGUUAAUCGGAAUUACUGGGCGUAAAGCGUGCGCAGGCGGUUUUGUAAGUCUGAUGUGAAAUCCCCGGGCUCAACCUGGGAAUUGCAUUGGAGACUGCAAGGCUAGAAUCUGGCAGAGGGGGGUAGAAUUCCACGUGUAGCAGUGAAAUGCGUAGAUAUGUGGAGGAACACCGAUGGCGAAGGCAGCCCCCUGGGUCAAGAUUGACGCUCAUGCACGAAAGCGUGGGGAGCAAACAGGAUUAGAAACCCUAGUAGUCCCAUGA
RNAcentral lists this ribosomal RNA (477 nucleotides) under uncultured organism. RNAcentral describes it as "partial 16S ribosomal RNA". It matches the Rfam family "Bacterial small subunit ribosomal RNA", at positions 332 to 800 of the family's 1533-position model. The record is from RNAcentral.